This 1428-nucleotide ribosomal RNA is filed under the name Limosilactobacillus fermentum. RNAcentral's name for it is "bacterial SSU rRNA". It matches the Rfam family "Bacterial small subunit ribosomal RNA". Lineage: Bacteria; Bacillati; Bacillota; Bacilli; Lactobacillales; Lactobacillaceae. The record is from RNAcentral.
GAUGGUGCUUGCACCUGAUUGAUUUUGGUCGCCAACGAGUGGCGGACGGGUGAGUAACACGUAGGUAACCUGCCCAGAAGCGGGGGACAACAUUUGGAAACAGAUGCUAAUACCGCAUAACAGCGUUGUUCGCAUGAACAACGCUUAAAAGAUGGCUUCUCGCUAUCACUUCUGGAUGGACCUGCGGUGCAUUAGCUUGUUGGUGGGGUAACGGCCUACCAAGGCGAUGAUGCAUAGCCGAGUUGAGAGACUGAUCGGCCACAAUGGGACUGAGACACGGCCCAUACUCCUACGGGAGGCAGCAGUAGGGAAUCUUCCACAAUGGGCGCAAGCCUGAUGGAGCAACACCGCGUGAGUGAAGAAGGGUUUCGGCUCGUAAAGCUCUGUUGUUAAAGAAGAACACGUAUGAGAGUAACUGUUCAUACGUUGACGGUAUUUAACCAGAAAGUCACGGCUAACUACGUGCCAGCAGCCGCGGUAAUACGUAGGUGGCAAGCGUUAUCCGGAUUUAUUGGGCGUAAAGAGAGUGCAGGCGGUUUUCUAAGUCUGAUGUGAAAGCCUUCGGCUUAACCGGAGAAGUGCAUCGGAAACUGGAUAACUUGAGUGCAGAAGAGGGUAGUGGAACUCCAUGUGUAGCGGUGGAAUGCGUAGAUAUAUGGAAGAACACCAGUGGCGAAGGCGGCUACCUGGUCUGCAACUGACGCUGAGACUCGAAAGCAUGGGUAGCGAACAGGAUUAGAUACCCUGGUAGUCCAUGCCGUAAACGAUGAGUGCUAGGUGUUGGAGGGUUUCCGCCCUUCAGUGCCGGAGCUAACGCAUUAAGCACUCCGCCUGGGGAGUACGACCGCAAGGUUGAAACUCAAAGGAAUUGACGGGGGCCCGCACAAGCGGUGGAGCAUGUGGUUUAAUUCGAAGCUACGCGAAGAACCUUACCAGGUCUUGACAUCUUGCGCCAACCCUAGAGAUAGGGCGUUUCCUUCGGGAACGCAAUGACAGGUGGUGCAUGGUCGUCGUCAGCUCGUGUCGUGAGAUGUUGGGUUAAGUCCCGCAACGAGCGCAACCCUUGUUACUAGUUGCCAGCAUUAAGUUGGGCACUCUAGUGAGACUGCCGGUGACAAACCGGAGGAAGGUGGGGACGACGUCAGAUCAUCAUGCCCCUUAUGACCUGGGCUACACACGUGCUACAAUGGACGGUACAACGAGUCGCGAACUCGCGAGGGCAAGCAAAUCUCUUAAAACCGUUCUCAGUUCGGACUGCAGGCUGCAACUCGCCUGCACGAAGUCGGAAUCGCUAGUAAUCGCGGAUCAGCAUGCCGCGGUGAAUACGUUCCCGGGCCUUGUACACACCGCCCGUCACACCAUGAGAGUUUGUAACACCCAAAGUCGGUGGGGUAACCUUUAGGAGCCAGCCGCCUAAGGUGACAGAAU